This is a long non-coding RNA of Calliphora vicina (urban bluebottle blowfly), 414 nucleotides long. RefSeq lists it as uncharacterized. The record is from RefSeq and is a predicted model, not a curated record. The transcript is spliced from 2 exons. NCBI's taxonomy places the organism in Eukaryota, Metazoa, Arthropoda, Insecta, Diptera, Calliphoridae.
AAAAAUCUGUAUUAUUUGUUGAAAUUUCUCUUGAAAAUUAUGUUGUGAAUAUUUUUUCCGAAUAAAUCUAACUAAGAAACAUUCAUAUAGUAAAGUUCAGCUUAAAGCUACAAUCAACGUUAAUACGAGUAAUAUUCAGUAAACUUAUAUUGUUUUAAUCCUUACAAAAUUAAAAAAAAAAUAUUCCAACAUGAAGUUUUAUGUAGUUUUCAUGUUCGUGUUCUUAAUUUUAGCAGUCUUUGCCACUAAAGCUAAAGCUGAUUUGAUGAAUUCUGUAUUUGAGGGCCUUAGCAAACCUCUUAAAGAAGUACCCGAAAAAGUUCUUGGCAUGGUAAAACAAGUAGGAGAUGCGGUACCAAAAAUGUAAAUGUUUUCAAAAUUAAUAAAAAAAAAUAAUUUCAUUAUAUGUUUAAA